UACGUAGGGUGCAAGCGUUGUCCGGAAUUAUUGGGCGUAAAGAGCUCGUAGGCGGUCUGUCGCGUCUGCUGUGAAAACUCGGGGCUUAACCCCGGGCCUGCAGUGGGUACGGGCAGACUAGAGUGCGGUAGGGGAGACUGGAAUUCCUGGUGUAGCGGUGAAAUGCGCAGAUAUCAGGAGGAACACCGGUGGCGAAGGCAGGUCUCUGGGCCACUACUGACGCUGAGAAGCGAAAGCAUGGGGAGCGAACAGG
Molecule: ribosomal RNA, 253 nt
Filed under: uncultured bacterium
Lineage: Bacteria
Description: partial 16S ribosomal RNA
Rfam family: Bacterial small subunit ribosomal RNA
Source: RNAcentral